This 1093-nucleotide ribosomal RNA is filed under the name Microbacterium flavum. RNAcentral's name for it is "bacterial SSU rRNA". It matches the Rfam family "Bacterial small subunit ribosomal RNA", at positions 336 to 1441 of the family's 1533-position model. The record is from RNAcentral. Lineage: Bacteria; Bacillati; Actinomycetota; Actinomycetes; Micrococcales; Microbacteriaceae.
UUCCUACGGGAGGCAGCAGUGGGGAAUAUUGCACAAUGGGCGAAAGCCUGAUGCAGCAACGCCGCCUGAAGGACGACGGCCUUCGGGUUGUAACCUCUUUUAGCAGGGAGAAGCGAAAGUGACGGUACCUGCAGAAAAAGCGCCGGCUAACUACGUGCCAGCAGCCGCGGUAAUACGUAGGGCGCAAGCGUUAUCCGGAAUUAUUGGGCGUAAAGAGCUCGUAGGCGGUUUGUCGCGUCUGCUGUGAAAUCCCGAGGCUCAACCUCGGGUCUGCAGUGGGUACGGGCAGACUAGAGUGCGGUAGGGGAGAUUGGAAUUCCUGGUGUAGCGGUGGAAUGCGCAGAUAUCAGGAGGAACACCGAUGGCGAAGGCAGAUCUCUGGGCCGUAACUGACGCUGAGGAGCGAAAGGGUGGGGAGCAAACAGGCUUAGAUACCCUGGUAGUCCACCCCGUAAACGUUGGGAACUAGUUGUGGGGUCCAUUCCACGGAUUCCGUGACGCAGCUAACGCAUUAAGUUCCCCGCCUGGGGAGUACGGCCGCAAGGCUAAAACUCAAAGGAAUUGACGGGGACCCGCACAAGCGGCGGAGCAUGCGGAUUAAUUCGAUGCAACGCGAAGAACCUUACCAAGGCUUGACAUAUACGAGAACGGGCCAGAAAUGGUCAACUCUUUGGACACUCGUAAACAGGUGGUGCAUGGUUGUCGUCAGCUCGUGUCGUGAGAUGUUGGGUUAAGUCCCGCAACGAGCGCAACCCUCGUUCUAUGUUGCCAGCACGUAAUGGUGGGAACUCAUGGGAUACUGCCGGGGUCAACUCGGAGGAAGGUGGGGAUGACGUCAAAUCAUCAUGCCCCUUAUGUCUUGGGCUUCACGCNUGCUACAAUGGCCGGUACAAAGGGCUGCAAUACCGUAAGGUGGAGCGAAUCCCAAAAAGCCGGUCCCAGUUCGGAUUGAGGUCUGCAACUCGACCUCAUGAAGUCGGAGUCGCUAGUAAUCGCAGAUCAGCAACGCUGCGGUGAAUACGUUCCCGGGUCUUGUACACACCGCCCGUCAAGUCAUGAAAGUCGGUAACACCUGAAGCCGGUGGCCCAACCC